CUUGGCGACCAUAGCGUUUUGGACCCACCUGACUCCAUUCCGAACUCAGAAGUGAAACGAAAU
RNAcentral lists this ribosomal RNA (63 nucleotides) under Vibrio parahaemolyticus. Lineage: Bacteria; Pseudomonadati; Pseudomonadota; Gammaproteobacteria; Vibrionales; Vibrionaceae. The record is from RNAcentral.